GUGCCAGCAGCCGCGGUAAUACGGAGGGUGCGAGCGUUAAUCGGAAUUACUGGGCGUAAAGCGCGCGUAGGCGGUUAGUUAAGCUGGAUGUGAAAGCCCCGGGCUCAACCUGGGAACUGCAUUUCGAACUGGCAAACUAGAGUGUGAUAGAGGGUGGUAGAAUUUCAGGUGUAGCGGUGAAAUGCGUAGAGAUCUGAAGGAAUACCGAUGGCGAAGGCAGCCACCUGGGUCAACACUGACGCUCAUGUACGAA
RNAcentral lists this ribosomal RNA (253 nucleotides) under uncultured Pseudoalteromonas sp. RNAcentral's name for it is "partial 16S ribosomal RNA". It matches the Rfam family "Bacterial small subunit ribosomal RNA", at positions 505 to 757 of the family's 1533-position model. Lineage: Bacteria; Pseudomonadati; Pseudomonadota; Gammaproteobacteria; Alteromonadales; Pseudoalteromonadaceae. The record is from RNAcentral.